Molecule: ribosomal RNA, 448 nt
Filed under: uncultured bacterium
Lineage: Bacteria
Description: SSU rRNA
Rfam family: Bacterial small subunit ribosomal RNA
Source: RNAcentral
AGAGCGAACGCUGGCGGCAGGCUUAACACAUGCAAGUCGAGCGGGCGUAGCAAUGCGUCAGCGGCAGACGGGUGAGUAACGCGUGGGAACGUACCUUUUGGUUCGGAACAACCCAGGGAAACUUGGGCUAAUACCGGAUAAGCCCUUACGGGGAAAGAUUUAUCGCCGAAAGAUCGGCCCGCGUCUGAUUAGCUAGUUGGUGAGGUAAUGGCUCACCAAGGCGACGAUCAGUAGCUGGUCUGAGAGGAUGAUCAGCCACAUUGGGACUGAGACACGGCCCAAACUCCUACGGGAGGCAGCAGUGGGGAAUAUUGGACAAUGGGCGCAAGCCUGAUCCAGCCAUGCCGCGUGAGUGAUGAAGGCCCUAGGGUUGUAAAGCUCUUUUGUGCGGGAAGAUAAUGACGGUACCGCAAGAAUAAGCCCCGGCUAACUUCGUGCCAGCAGCCGC